CGGGCAGCCAUUUAAUGAUAAUGAAUUACCUGAAGAAAAACAACUAUCAGGACUGGGCAGGUGUAAACAGUGGGUACACACACGGUUCAUUGUUUUGUGCCAGGUUGUAAUCAUCGCUAUGGAGUGAGUAACUGCAAAUCUUUUUACCGAUUUCCCAACAAUUGAGCUGAAAGGCGCCGGUGGAUCAGACUAAGAUCCCAGACAUCUACUGUCCCCCUGAACCUUUCACGACCCAUCAGCAGAGCAUCGCUCGUCAGCUUCCCUCAGAUUCACGUCACCUCAGCUCUUCUCCCUCUCAUCCAUCAGCAGAGCAUCGCUCGUCAGCUUCCCUCAGAUUCACGUCACCUCGGCUCUUCUCCCUCUCGCCUCUCGGUGUCCCCUGUGGUAGAAAUUCACAUAUUAGUACUCUUUCUAAGGCAGAAUACAGGUUCGGUACCUUUCUAAUCAGGAAUGUGGCGGAGGUCUUAGGAGGCAUUAAAAAUGGAAAGCCACUGUACUCGUCAGUGGAUCACAGGUGGAGGCAGACACAGUGGUCUUCAGGGCACAUCCCUGUGGACACAUUCAUGGCCACGCUGAACUCCAGUGUCACGCCAGACACCCCCACAGCUGGGCUCUGUCUGCUGAAAUAGUGUGAGAGCUGACAAAACAAAUCAACAAGUGACACGACAAACAGAAUGCUCAAGUGGCAUUAUAAAUAAAUUCGGCCUUUAUAAAUACAUUUGAUUGAUUGUCUCUUGCUCCGUUUAAACUUAGGAGGACAUGAGGUCUUGGCCCACACCUGGGAUACCAGGCACUAAAGACUCAUUGCUACCCCUGUCCAAAGUCCUCCUGGUUGUGUUUCCAGAUCAAGAUUCCACAAUUCCAGCUGCCUGUCUGCUGGCCCUCCAGUUGUCCCUGUCCUUGUCCAUCUAGUCAAGCUUCUGACCUGGAGUAGGUUUUAUAGACUCUGCCCACAGCCCAAAUGCAUUUAUUAUUACGACUUGUACUCUUAAAAUGUUCACCCAGCACAGCCAGAGGAGGAAUGGUCACCCCUCCGAGCUUGGUUCCUCUCUAGGUUUCUUCCAAAAUGUUGCACCUCUUAGGGAGUUUUUCCUAGCCACUGUGAUUCAACACUGUUGCUGCGUGCUCAGACUGGGUGUUUUUGUAAAAACACUUUUUUGACAACUGCUGAUGUAAAAAGGGCUUUAUAAAUAAAGUUGUUUUUAACAGAGUUCAUGAAUUUCCCCUUUUGAUGAUUUUCAUCCCCCCG
Molecule: long non-coding RNA, 1249 nt
Organism: Esox lucius (northern pike)
Lineage: Eukaryota; Metazoa; Chordata; Actinopteri; Esociformes; Esocidae
Source: Ensembl